ACUUAAAUAGCUUAUAUAGAGCAUAAUAUUGAAGAUAUUAGGGAAAUUAAAAAAUUUUUAAGUA
This 64-nucleotide transfer RNA is filed under the name Calvia championorum. RNAcentral's name for it is "tRNA-Phe". Lineage: Eukaryota; Metazoa; Arthropoda; Insecta; Coleoptera; Coccinellidae. The record is from RNAcentral.